UGAUAACCCACUAACUGCUCAUGCUAGGAUUCAGAUCUUCUGGUUUGCCUUGGCCAACUUUCUGUUUGCUCACCGGGGCAUACCAUUCGUUUUUCACGCAGGCUAUUUCUUUUCAUGUCCCAUAUUGUAUCGGGACCCUUUCUUUCUCUCGUUUCUUCUAUCCUCUGCUUCAUUUCUCUCACACUUUCACUUUUUUCAUAGUUGGCUACUCAGUCCUUCUCUAUGGCAUAUGACUUAG
Pelobates cultripes (western spadefoot toad) is the source of this 238-nucleotide non-coding RNA. The record is from the annotation of a GenBank genome assembly. Lineage: Eukaryota; Metazoa; Chordata; Amphibia; Anura; Pelobatidae.